Molecule: small RNA, 225 nt
Filed under: Pan troglodytes (chimpanzee)
Lineage: Eukaryota; Metazoa; Chordata; Mammalia; Primates; Hominidae
Description: processed transcript
Source: RNAcentral
CUUUUCUCUAUGUCUGGAAAAGCGUAGGCAUCCGGAGGCUUUGGAGGGGAGUCUGGCAGCCCGGCUGGCCCAGGCCCUGCAGCGGCAGCCUUUCCACAGGGCGCAGCGGCGGCCUUUCGAGGCCCUUUCUGGGGGAGAACCUCCUGGAGGGGUUCUUUGUGGGGCCCUGUGUCCCCUGCUCGGGAGUAAGGCUGGUCCUGGGGUCCUCCCUGCACAGCCCCCACU